AGUCGCACGAGAACGCUCCUUCGGGAGCUAGUAAAGUGGCGGACGGGUGAGUAACGCGUAGAUAACCUGCCCUUAAGAGAGGAAUAACUACUGGAAACGGUAGCUAAUGCCACAUAAUAUCAGUCUUUCGCAUGAUCGACUGAUCAAAGCCUUCGGGCGCUUGGGGAUGGAUCUGCGUCGGAUUAGCUUGUUGGUGAGGUAAAAGCUCACCAAGGCAGUAAUCCGUAGCUGGUCUGAGAGGAUGAUCAGCCACACUGGCACUGAGACACGGGCCAGACUCCUACGGGAGGCAGCAGUGGGGAAUCUUAGGCAAUGGGGGAAACCCUGACCUAGCCAUGCCGCGUGGAGGAAGACACCCCUACGGGGCGUAAACUCCUUUUCUACUGGAAGAAAACCCUGUUUUUCAGGGCGUGACGGUACAGUAGGAAUAAGCACCGGCUAACUCCGUGCCAGCAGCCGCGGUAAUACGGAGGGUGCAAGCGUUGUCCGGAAUCACUGGGUGUAAAGGGUGUGCAGGCGGGACAGCAAGUCAGAAGUGAAAGCCCACGGCUUAACCGUGGAAGUGCUUUUGAAACUGCUGUUCUUGAGUCUCGGAGAAGUUGCUGGAAUUCGUGGUGUAGCGGUGAAAUGCGUAGAUAUCACGAGGAACACCAGAAGCGUAAGCGAGCAACUAGACGAGUACUGACGCUGAGGC
This 694-nucleotide ribosomal RNA is filed under the name uncultured Bacteroidota bacterium. RNAcentral's name for it is "bacterial SSU rRNA". It matches the Rfam family "Bacterial small subunit ribosomal RNA", at positions 60 to 752 of the family's 1533-position model. Lineage: Bacteria; Pseudomonadati; Bacteroidota. The record is from RNAcentral.